AGCGUCGUCAAAGAUUUAAACAAUUUAAUUUGAUUUUUGUAAAGUGUUGUGUCAUUCUCUGACGAACAAGAUGUUGAGAAAUGAUACGAGAACCACGGAAGCGAUACAAUGAUCCCAUCAUAUACUGAAUUAAUCACGUGAAUGCUGAGGUUCUGAUUGUGCGAUCCAAAUUGAGUUAAGGAAGAUUUGGGUUGAACUAGUGGGGAUCGUAGCUGAGAAUUGCUUGGGGCCUAAGGAAUCUCAACGAGAACUACGACUUGGAGCAAUUAGAAGCUUCCAGAGUGGGAAACAGGGUGGAGCCACACCGUCGUAUAUCUACCUCGACUUCACUCAAUAACUCUCGCUGCAUAGUGAUCUUGAAGAAGAUUGCAUCGAGACCUUCAUGGUAAUCUCACAGACAGGAUGGAAGGCUGGACUCUCAGCAACAAAUCUUGCGUCGGUGCUGGGUUGCUACCGACGCCUUCGGCGCGAAAAUGUGCGCUGAUACCUUGGAAAAUGCUCAACUAUCAAGACAUCGAUUUCUCGGGAACUGAUUAUCUGUAGCAUCGAUUAACUGGAUAUUGAGUUCCUCGAUCGACGUUUAUUUAGACAUGCGAACAGAGAGUCUUGGAUACUCUUGCAAUUUACACAGUCUGGAUAAUCGAGCUGGUACGUUGAGCAUCGAUUACUCGGACCAUGUCGUCCCUCGUCUUGUUCUGGUAGUCCAAGUUUCAAUUCCUUAGCUUGUAAUAUUACAGUUCUCUUCACGGUGCUUCCAAUAUUUCGAGGAAAUUGCGCCUUUCGUUAAAAACGAAAUAACAAUCUACAUACAAUCUUUUUUCUUGAAUAAUCUUCCAAAGUAGAAUCUUCGAUUUUUCGAUCAAUUUUAAAGACUUUCGCCCUUUGAGUGCCAAAGGAAAUUUGCAUACAUAUCCGAGAAACGCCAGACAAUUUUAAGCAACGAUGCAUGAUUGUAAACAGAAAUGUAUAUUCCAUUCAAUUUUAUUUUAAGGUUCGUGAAAUUUUUACACGAUACUAAAAACAUGUUAGACUUCCUUUAUUACUAAAAAAAAAAAAGAAUAAAAAUAAAACGUUAUAGGUUUAACAAGAAAUAAAUUUGUAUAAAGAAAAUAUUUUCACAAAGACUUGAACUUGAAUUUUGCUUGCAAAUAAACUUAUUAACUUAUUCUCUGUUGAAAUGAAUCUUUUCAGUUAUGUUUUGCAGAUUUUUUAACGAGUUAUAGCACUUACAGCUUCGAGCAACGAUAUGUCGCUCCUCGACACUCGAAGGGUUAAGCAACAAGUAUAUAAACCAAAAGAAUCUCCUUCUCGAUCCAGAGAAAAUGGAGUACCUCAACGCGUAAACUAUUUCCCUUGCCUUGUAACGCUCCAUUUCUCAUCCCGAAGCUUCCCCCGCAUUAAAAAAAAUAGCGCGCCACAUUAAAAACUCAAUAACAACCCAUCCUCCCCGAGCUUGAAGAGACUCCUAGCAAAGUAACGAACCACCUUGACGCGAGAGGAACGACCUGCAAGCCCAA
Molecule: long non-coding RNA, 1517 nt
Organism: Hylaeus volcanicus
Lineage: Eukaryota; Metazoa; Arthropoda; Insecta; Hymenoptera; Colletidae
Exons: 3
Source: RefSeq, a predicted model, not a curated record